This 468-nucleotide ribosomal RNA is filed under the name uncultured bacterium. RNAcentral's name for it is "partial 16S ribosomal RNA". It matches the Rfam family "Bacterial small subunit ribosomal RNA", at positions 28 to 507 of the family's 1533-position model. The record is from RNAcentral.
GACGAACGCUGGCGGCGUGCUUAACACAUGCAAGUCGAACGGAAAGGCCCUGCUUUUGUGGGGUGCUCGAGUGGCGAACGGGUGAGUAACACGUGAGUAACCUGCCCUUGACUUUGGGAUAACUUCAGGAAACUGGGGCUAAUACCGGAUAGGAGCUCCUGCUGCAUGGUGGGGGUUGGAAAUUUUCGGCGGUUGGGGAUGGACUCGCGGCUUAUCAGCUUGUUGGUGGGGGAGUGGCUUACCAAGGCUGUGACGGGUAGCCCGCCGGAGAGGGUGAACGGCCACCUUGGGACUGAGAUACGCACCAGAGUCGUACGGGAGGCAGUAGUGGCGAAUCUUACACAAUGGGACGGAGUCUGAUGCAGCAACGCCGCGUUUGGGAUGACGGCCUUCGGGUUGUAAACCGCUUUAGCCUGUGACGAAGCGUGAGUGACGGUAAUGGGUAAAGAAGCACCGGCUAACUACGUG